CUGCUCAUGAGUAUUAAAUAGCCGCAGUACUUUGACUGUGCUAAGGUAGCAUAAUCAAUUGUCUUUUAAUUGGGGACUAGAAUGAAUGAAUUUAUGGUUAAAUACUUUAUUCAUAUGUUUAUUUAAAAAUUUUUUUAUUAGGUGAAAAGACCUAAAAAAUUAUAUUAGACGAGAAGACCCCAGGAAUUUAUAUUAUUUUUUAUUGGGGCGAUAACUAAACAUCUUAAACUUUAGUUUUUAUUUAUACAACGAAAUAAUUUUAAUGAAGAAUAAAUUACCCUGGGGAUAACAGCAUAAUUUUUUUUAAAGAUUGUGACCUCGAUGUUGGAUUAGAAAAUAUUUUACUUAAAGAGUAAGAGUUAUUGUUCUGUUCGAACACUUUUAAUUUCUACGUGAUCUGA
Molecule: ribosomal RNA, 401 nt
Filed under: Oxyloma wujiaquensis
Lineage: Eukaryota; Metazoa; Mollusca; Gastropoda; Stylommatophora; Succineidae
Description: partial 16S ribosomal RNA
Rfam family: Archaeal large subunit ribosomal RNA
Source: RNAcentral